Molecule: unclassified non-coding RNA, 18 nt
Filed under: Chlamydomonas reinhardtii
Lineage: Eukaryota; Viridiplantae; Chlorophyta; Chlorophyceae; Chlamydomonadales; Chlamydomonadaceae
Description: small RNA Cre_2011
Source: RNAcentral
GUCAGGUGCCAGGGUGGA